RNA transcript from Mus musculus (house mouse), 6894 nucleotides. It is a transcript of the gene named ring finger protein 123, with no coding region annotated. The transcript has 38 exons. Lineage: Eukaryota; Metazoa; Chordata; Mammalia; Rodentia; Muridae. The record is from RefSeq and is marked validated.
GUCCCUGCUACGGCUGGGCUAGGAAAGGUGGGGGCGAAACAGGUGGACCAUCAGGCAAAACGGGUAAACACCUUGGUAGGAGACGGAGGAGGGUUUUCUGCCAGCCUGUUGCGGUCUGUGCAUAUGCGCGUGCGCGGCUGGAGCAGCGCUCGAGCGGGCACGCGGUUUGGCCCUGGACGGGUGCCGUAGCCGAAAAGCUGGGCGGAUGUUGUGAGCCGGUCGCGGAGGCUGAGGCCGGGGGUGAGUGAGAGGCGGCCUGGCUAUGAGCCGGGCGGGUUCGGUGACUCCCCUCGAGGCCCCUGGCCGAUCCAGUGCGACAGUGCCGCGGCCUGCGGUAUAGGAGUCCCAGCGGGAGCUGGCCUGACAGGUCCUAUGGACCUUGGGGCCAAGCAGGGGCGACCUGGGGGAGCAUGCGCUGCCCUUGACAUCCUUGGCCACCCAGUCUUAGUCGGUUCGGUUCUGAGCCUGGAUCUCUUAGAAGGGCUGGGCAAUAAUGGAGUGGCAGGGAGCUCUGGGGCAGGCGCAGGUUCCGCCUCUAAAUCCUCUACACCUGACACUCAGAGUGUGUGUCUGGAAGGUUGGCUUCCAGGUCUUACUAACUGUGUCCAAUAAGUCCUGCAAUUGUUCCAAUAUAAGAGGGACUGGUUGUGGAUGUUCAUCGAGGGCCCCCGGAGGGCGGCACAGCGGCAGAAUCACCUUCCUGAGCCUGGUAUGAUGCAGGCAAGGCAAGGGUUUGUGGCGGGAGCCGAGGGCCCGUUUGGGAUGUGAUAAGAGUAAGCUGCAGAAAAAGAAGUGCUGGCUCAGGCAAGUGACUAAAGGCCAAGCUCUCUGGACAGGCGCUAAUAGAACUUUCUGGGCCGGUGGUGGUGAUAGCACACCUGUGCCUUCCGGUUUAGUACAGUCAUGUGUGAUGGCUGAACUCUUGAAACUGAAAGUUCAGUUUUUAACUUUGUAAACUUAACCACUCUUGGCUCCUGACUACCGUGUGGUGCAGCACACCCCUACACUGAGACAGGCAUCAGGGAGUUCAUGCAGUUUCUGUAGUAGCUGCAGCAACAACAUAAAGAGAUAGACAAGAGUAGGAAGACCAAUAGAAUGAUCUUGGCUAAGGCGAUGAUUGCAUAGGAUAGACGGUUAUAUGGUGUGUGUGUGUGUGUGUGUGUGUGUGAGCGCGUGCACGCAUGCAAGAAAACUAAUGAGACUGAAAAUAAGAAAAUGGAGGAAGCUUGGGCUAAGUAUGACAUCUCUUACUCUGGGGCCCCAGGGAACAUGGCAUAAGGUCUUGCCUUUUGAAUAUGAGCUGGGCUCCAUGGUAAAUACAGGAGGUUUUUAUUCUAGGCCACCUCACUUUGGACGUGUUGAUCUGAUUUCCCCAGAGCCAAGGCCUCUAGUUAUGGUUCAGCAAACAUACUUUGCACCAGGUCUCUACUAGCUCCUGUAUGGGGCACUGAGACGUCGUGGGACAAUAGUGUCCCUGACACCAGUCUAAAUCCCACCCAACAUCCAUGUUUGGAAAGCUGGGAGCCCUUGCUUACCCCUGCCCUGGGUUAGUAUGUGUGUGAAUAUGCAUGGUUCAGUCUUACCUGCUCCCAAGCCUUCCUCCUAUUGCAGGACUGAGGUCUGUGUGAGCCUUUGACUAGCCUGGAGUAGACACCUGCAUCUGGCUCAGCCUCCAGGACCAUUGACUGCCCAUGAGUAAUGAGGGAUGGCGUCCAAGGGGACUGGCAUGUCGUUCUCCCGAAAGAGCUAUAGGCUGACCUCAGAUGCUGAGAAGUCCAGGGUCACAGGCAUCGUGCAAGAGAAACUACUGAGCGACUAUCUGUACCGCAUCUUUUCCCCUCCUGACCGUGGACCCGCCGCAGCCACCAGCAGGAAACCGCUAAACUUCCAUAACCUGCCUGAGCACGUGGACCAGCUGCUACAGGUGGACAGUGAAGACAACGAGAGCCAGGGACAAGUUGAAGGUCGACUUGGCCCAUCUACUGUGGUCCUAGACCACACAGGAGGCUUUGAGGGGCUUCUCCUUGUGGAUGAUGACCUCCUGGGGGUGAUUGGACACAGCAACUUUGGCACUAUCCGUUCUACCACAUGUGUGUACAAAGGGAAGUGGGUCUACGAGGUGCUCAUCUCCUCCCAGGGCCUCAUGCAGAUCGGCUGGUGCACCAUCAACUGCCGCUUUAAUCAGGAGGAAGGGGUUGGAGACACACAUAACUCCUAUGCCUAUGACGGCAACCGAGUGCGCAAGUGGAAUGUUACCACCACGAAUUAUGGCAAGGCGUGGGCUGCGGGGGACAUUGUCAGCUGCCUAAUUGAUCUGGAUGAUGGGACUCUGUCCUUCUGCCUGAAUGGCGUGUCACUGGGCACUGCCUUCGAGAACCUUUCCAGGGGCCUAGGAAUGGCGUACUUCCCAGCCAUCAGCCUGUCAUUCAAGGAGUCUGUGGCAUUCAACUUUGGCAGCCGUCCUUUGCGCUACCCAGUUGCGGGCUUCCGGCCCCUGCAGGACCCUCCGUUUGCUGACCUGGUCCGGGCACAGAGGUUGCUGGGCUGCUUCCAGGCAGUGCUAAGUGUGGAGCUGGACCCUGUGGAAGGGCGGCUGGUGGAGACGGAGAGCUCUGAGUGGCAGCUGCAAGGGCAGCCCACUGUCCUCCUCACGCUGGCCCACAUCUUCCAUCACUUUGCACCACUGCUGCGCAAGGUAUACCUGGUGGAGGCUGUGCUAAUGAGCUUCCUGCUGGGCGUUGUGGAGAAGGGCACACCAGAGCAGGCGCAGUCUGUGGUACACCAGAUCUUGGACCUCUUGUGGCUCUUCAUGGAGGACUAUGAGGUACAGGAUUGCCUGAAGCAGUUGAUGAUGUCACUUCUACGUCUCUACCGAUUCUCGCCUAUUGUCCCAGACCUGGGUCUACAGAUCCACUACCUGCGCCUCACUAUGUCCAUCCUGAGACACGAGAAGUCCCGCAAGUUCCUGCUUAGCAAUGUCCUUUUUGACAUGCUCCGGUCCGUGGUCUUCUUUUAUAUUAAGAGUCCCCUGCGUGUGGAGGAAGCUGGCCUGAAGGAACUCAUUCCCACCACCUGGUGGCCCCAUCGCUCCAGCAGGGAGAGCAGAGACGGUAAGGAAGCAAGGGAGGAGACCACCGAAGAGCGGCAGCGGAGGCGAGCCUAUGAGCGUGGCUGCCAAAGACUCAAGAAACGCAUUGAAGUGGUGGAAGAACUGCAGGUCCAGAUCCUGAAGCUGCUGUUGGACAAUAAAGAUGACAAUGGGGGUGAAGCUUCUAGGUACAUCUUUCUGACAAAAUUCCGAAAGUUCCUGCAGGAGAAUGCCAGCGGCCGGGGGAACACACCCGUGCUCUGCCCCCCUGAGUACAUGGUCUGCUUCCUACACCGGCUGGUGUCUGCCUUGCGCUUCUAUUGGGAUGAAUACAAAGCUUCCAACCCCCGUGCUUCCUUCAGUGAGGAGGCUUACAUCCCGCCCCAGAUCUUCUAUAAUGGCAAGGUGGACUACUUUGACCUUCAGCGCCUUGGGGGCCUCCUCUCACACCUUCGAAAGACCCUUAAAGAUGACCUUGCUUCCAAAGCCAACAUCGUGAUCGACCCCCUGGAGCUCCAGGCAGCCACCAUGGAUGACCUGGAUGAGGAUGAAGAGCCUGCCCCCUCAGCGGCCCAGGUGUGGCAGGAGGGACAGCGUCCGAUGCAAGCCCUGGCCAUCGGAGGGGCACUGCCCCUGCCCCGGCCAGGCUGGCUCAGUUCUCCAACCCUGGGCAGAGCCAACCGCUUCCUCAGCACGGCAGCUGUGAGCCUCAUGACCCCACGGCGGCUUCUGAGCACCAUGGAGAAAGUCAAAGUUCGCUCACUGAAUGUGGAACAGAGGACCCGUGAGGACAUUGAGGGCAGCCACUGGAAUGAGGGCCUGCUGUUGGGGAGGCCCCCUGAAGAGCCUGAGCAGCCGCUUACCGAGAACUCGCUGUUGGAAGUCCUGGAUGGCACAGUCAUGAUGUAUAACCUCAGCGUUCACCAGCAGCUGGGCAAGAUGGUGGGUGUGUCUGAUGAUGUCAACGAGUAUGCAAUGGCCCUAAGAGACACAGAGGACAAGCUCCGUCGGUGCCCUAAGAGGAGGAAGGAUAUCCUUGCAGAGUUGACCAAGAGCCAGAAGGUUUUCUCAGAAAAGCUGGACCACCUGAGCCGCAGGCUUGCCUGGGUCCACGCCACAGUCUACUCACAGGAGAAAAUGCUGGAUAUCUACUGGUUACUGCGUGUCUGCCUACGGACCAUUGAGCAUGGGGACCGCACGGGGUCUCUCUUUGCCUUCAUGCCUGAGUUCUACCUAAGUGUGGCUAUCAACAGCUACAGUGCCCUGAAGAACUAUUUUGGCCCUGUGCACAGCAUGGAGGAACUCCCAGGCUAUGAAGAGACCCUGACACGCUUAGCUGCCAUCCUCGCCAAACACUUUGCUGACCCUCGAAUAGUAGGCACUGAUAUUCGAGACUCACUGAUGCAGGCCCUGGCCAGCUAUGUGUGCUACCCACACUCCCUGCGGGCUGUGGAACGGAUUCCUGAGGAACAGCGCAUCGCCAUGGUGAGGAACCUUUUGGCACCCUAUGAGCAACGGCCCUGGGCCCAGACCAACUGGAUCCUGGUGCGGCUUUGGAGGGGCUGUGGGUUUGGGUACCGCUAUACACGGCUGCCACAUCUGCUGAAAACCAAGCCAGAGGAUGCCAAUUUGCCCAGCCUCCAAACCCAGGGAUGCUCCAGGAGAAGACCUUUUGUUCCCUUUGGGCUUGUGUGAAGGUUUAACAGUGAAAGGACCCCUCCAGCUUGGCGGAAGCUCGUGGAGGAUAGAGACGUACUCUAUUGCCUGCCUCUGCCUGCCUCCUUACUCCCAGCUGUAGCCAGGAAGUGUACCUGCCUUCUUUAUCUUCUGGCCUUGGACCCUUGACUCAGGAGGGGGCACAAACUAGAAACUGAUCAGGACCCAGAGCGGGUUAUAGAUGUGGCUAGGAACAGAGACUUUCAAAGUCUCCUUAGCACAAGGACCUUUAUCUGACCUGGACAAGACCUUGGGCUGUGCAGCUUGCAGAGAGGGCUCACCACACUCCUUCCUGGGCUCACUAGUGUUUCUGGCCUUGAAGCUAGUGUCUUGGUCUCUGGAUGUUCCCAGAGAGGCCAAAAUUCUUGUGUAGAUUCACAUAGCAAGUUCUUCCUUGCUAAAUACCUUCACCUGGACUCUAGGACGGAAUUGAGGUGCAAGUGGGGAAGGGCAUGGGGCCUGAUACCAUCCCUGUGUGCAGGAACUAUUGAUUUGCAACAGAGGGCUGAAGAGCUAUGUCAGGCCAGUCGCGGCCGAGAGCUCUGGUUACUGCUGCCCUUCCAGCCCAGACUUGGCGCUCAACACCUAAGCCAAAUGCCAAGGCCAGACCAAGGGCAGCAGAGGACAGCAGGGCAGUCUGGGCACUUCAUGAAGCUGGCCUUGACACUAGUGGGAACAGUCUAAGUUGUCUUGUCUAUAUGACAUCUGCCCGACAGGCAUGUGACUCAGAACUUGCUUUAGAUCAGGCCCACAGCUCUCUGGCCCACGGGAAUGAUGGUAUUGGAAACACCUGCAGCCUGUGACUUGCCCAGCAAGAGGGAGACAGACUCGCCCCUAACCUCCCAGGCAGUAGUGUGCUGCUCCUCUCUGCCUUUGUGAGCUGAACGUUCUUAGGCAGGCGUCGCUGCAUUCUUAAUGCAGCGGUGCAGGAGGACAGGCAGGAGUCCUGUCUGGAGUCCCUGGUAACUCUACUCUCCUCUGCCCCAGAGCCCUGCCCUUCGACCUUGCUACAGCAGCACAUGGCGGACCUGCUGCGACAAGGGUCUGAUGUGGCACCGAGCUUCCUCAACAGUGUCCUUAACCAGCUCAACUGGGCCUUCUCUGAGUUCAUCGGCAUGAUCCAGGAGAUUCAACAGGCUGCUGAACGCCUGGAGCGGAACUUUGUGGACAGCCGACAGCUCAAGGUCUGUGCCACCUGCUUUGACCUGUCGGUCAGCUUGUUGCGCGUCUUGGAAAUGACCAUCACGCUGGUACCUGAAAUAUUCCUUGACUGGUCCCGCCCUACCUCUGAGAUGCUGCUUCGGCGUCUGGCACAGCUGCUGAACCAGGUGCUGAACCGGGUGACAGCUGAGAGGAACCUGUUUGACCGUGUAGUUACCCUACGGCUACCUGGGCUGGAGAGUGUGGACCACUACCCUAUCCUGGUGGCAGUGACUGGCAUCCUGGUACGCCUCCUGGUGCACGGCCCAACCUCAGAGACAGAGCAAGCCACCUCUGUGCUCCUGGCUGAUCCCUGCUUCCAGCUUCGUUCCAUAUGCUAUCUCCUGGGGCAGCCAGAGCCCCUAGCACCUGGCACUACCUUGCCUGCCCCUGACCGGAAACGCUUCUCUCUACAGAGUUAUACAGAUUAUAUCAGCGCUGAGGAGCUGGCCCAGGUGGAACAGAUGCUGGCUCACCUGACCGCUGCAUCUGCCCAGGCGGCCGCCGCCUCCCUGCCCACCAAUGAAGAGGACCUCUGCCCAAUCUGCUACGCCCACCCCAUCUCUGCUGUGUUCCAGCCUUGUGGUCACAAAUCCUGCAAAGCCUGCAUCAACCAGCACCUGAUGAACAACAAGGACUGCUUCUUCUGCAAAGCCACCAUUGUAUCUGUAGAGGACUGGGACAAGGCAGCCAACACAAGCGCCAUGUCCUCAGCUGCCUAGGCCAUCCUGGAAGCUCCGCCAUCAGCCGCAGACCGGGCCCUGUUUACCCAUCACCCUCACUCUUACCACUUCCACCCACCCAUCUGCCUGUGUGUAGCCUCGCUGGUGGGAGCCUGAGCUUGACUUCCAGUCCAGGCUACAGUGAGCAUUAAAUUAUUAUUCCAAACA